This 480-nucleotide ribosomal RNA is filed under the name uncultured bacterium. RNAcentral's name for it is "partial 16S ribosomal RNA". It matches the Rfam family "Bacterial small subunit ribosomal RNA", at positions 28 to 507 of the family's 1533-position model. The record is from RNAcentral.
GACGAACGCUGGCGGCGCGCUUAACACAUGCAAGUCGAGCGAUGAAAUCUUGACAGAUCCCUUCGGGGUGAAGAUAAGAUGGAUUAGCGGCGGACGGGUGAGUAACACGUGAGUAACCUGCCUUAGACAUUGGGAUAGCCUCGGGAAACCGGGAUUAAUACCAAAUGAAAUCAUAGGUGCCCAUGCACUACUGAUCAAAACUCCGGUGGUCUAAGAUGGACUCGCGUCCCAUUAGCUAGUUGGUGAGGUAAUGGCCCACCAAGGCGACGAUGGGUAGCCGGCCUGAGAGGGUGAACGGCCACAUUGGAACUGAGAAACGGUCCAAACUCCUACGGGAGGCAGCAGUGGGGAAUAUUGCACAAUGGAGGGAACUCUGAUGCAGCGACGCCGCGUGAACGAUGAAGGCUUUCGAGUCGUAAAGUUCUUUUAUAUGGGAAGAUAAUGACGGUACCAUAAGAAAAAGCCCCGGCUAACUACGUG